UGAUGUGAGGGCAAUCUGGCUGCGACAUCUGUGACCCCAUUGAUCGCCAGGGUUGAUUUGGCUGAUCUGGCUGGCUAGGCGGGUGUUCCUUUCCUCCCUCACUGCUCCAUGUGUGUCCCUCCCGAAGCUUUGAGCUGGGUCAAAGAGGAGGACCAUAUCCAAUAGAGGAGGCCCGUCUUCGGUCAAGGGUAUAUGAAUAGCUGCACUCCCCUGCAAGAACCCCCAAACAAGUUCUCAAGUACUAACCUCCAGUGCCUGUGAAUGCUGACCUUAUUUUGAAGUAGAAUCUUUGCAGAUAUAAUUAGUUUGUAUGAUGUCAUACUGGAUU
Molecule: small nuclear RNA, 328 nt
Filed under: Saimiri boliviensis boliviensis (Bolivian squirrel monkey)
Lineage: Eukaryota; Metazoa; Chordata; Mammalia; Primates; Cebidae
Description: 7SK RNA (ENSSBOG00000007075.1)
Rfam family: 7SK RNA
About the family: 7SK was discovered as an abundant small nuclear RNA in the mid-70s but a possible function has only recently been suggested.
Source: Rfam by way of RNAcentral